GAGUUUGAUCAUGGCUCAGAUUGAACGCUGGCGGCAGGCCUAACACAUGCAAGUCGAGCGGCAGCACGGGUACUUGUACCUGGUGGCGAGCGGCGGACGGGUGAGUAAUGCCUAGGAAUCUGCCUGGUAGUGGGGGAUAACGCUCGGAAACGGACGCUAAUACCGCAUACGUCCUACGGGAGAAAGCAGGGGACCUUCGGGCCUUGCGCUAUCAGAUGAGCCUAGGUCGGAUUAGCUAGUUGGUGAGGUAAUGGCUCACCAAGGCGACGAUCCGUAACUGGUCUGAGAGGAUGAUCAGUCACACUGGAACUGGGACACGGUCCAGACUCCUACGGGAGGCAGCAGUGGGGAAUAUUGGACAAUGGGCGAAAGCCUGAUCCAGCCAUGCCGCGUGUGUGAAGAAGGUCUUCGGAUUGUAAAGCACUUUAAGUUGGGAGGAAGGGCAGUAAAUUAAUACUUUGCUGUUUUGACGUUACCGACAGAAUAAGCACCGGCUAACUCUGUGCCAGCAGCCGCGGUAAUACAGAGGGUGCAAGCGUUAAUCGGAAUUACUGGGCGUAAAGCGCGCGUAGGUGGUUUGUUAAGUUGGAUGUGAAAUCCCCGGGCUCAACCUGGGAACUGCAUUCAAAACUGACAAGCUAGAGUAUGGUAGAGGGUGGUGGAAUUUCCUGUGUAGCGGUGAAAUGCGUAGAUAUAGGAAGGAACACCAGUGGCGAAGGCAACCACCUGGACUGAUACUGACACUGAGGUGCGAAAGCGUGG
Molecule: ribosomal RNA, 762 nt
Filed under: Pseudomonas sp. enrichment culture clone 10.5
Lineage: Bacteria; Pseudomonadati; Pseudomonadota; Gammaproteobacteria; Pseudomonadales; Pseudomonadaceae
Description: bacterial SSU rRNA
Rfam family: Bacterial small subunit ribosomal RNA
Source: RNAcentral